UAACGCCGCAAGGCCCCGGCAAUCUGUCGGAUCGGUGGAAGCCCGAUGCCCGUCGAAAUGGCGGGCGGCGCUCAUGGCAAAAUC
RNAcentral lists this ribozyme (84 nucleotides) under unclassified sequences. Its description in RNAcentral is "Twister_sister_ribozyme". It matches the Rfam family "Twister_sister_ribozyme". The record is from Rfam by way of RNAcentral.